GUUUCCCUGAAAGCAAUGUAUAGCGCGUUGGACUUCUUUUCCGAAGUUCGUGGGUUCAAAUCCCACGGGAAAUG
Trichonephila inaurata madagascariensis is the source of this 74-nucleotide non-coding RNA. NCBI's taxonomy places the organism in Eukaryota, Metazoa, Arthropoda, Arachnida, Araneae, Nephilidae. The record is from the annotation of a GenBank genome assembly.